AGUUUUGGUGUCUAAACCGAACCAAACUGGGACCGUUUCACAAUGUUAACGACGUGUUUAAAACCACCACGUUACCUAGAAUGCUCCUGUGGGACGUAUCGGGGGGGGGGGGGACAAACGACAGAUAUAGUCGUAUGGUUUGGAGGACUUGUUGGUUUGACCUGAACACGUUUAAAACAUGUUCAGCAAAGUGAAGCUGCAAAACUACUUUUCUGCAGAAAAACU
This is a long non-coding RNA of Sander lucioperca (pikeperch), 225 nucleotides long. RefSeq lists it as uncharacterized. Lineage: Eukaryota; Metazoa; Chordata; Actinopteri; Perciformes; Percidae. The transcript has 4 exons. The record is from RefSeq and is a predicted model, not a curated record.